Sinocyclocheilus rhinocerous is the source of this 235-nucleotide long non-coding RNA. RefSeq lists it as uncharacterized. The transcript is spliced from 3 exons. The record is from RefSeq and is a predicted model, not a curated record. NCBI's taxonomy places the organism in Eukaryota, Metazoa, Chordata, Actinopteri, Cypriniformes, Cyprinidae.
AUCUGGAAACUACAGCGUGCAAUCACCACCUUGGACAUGGAGUGGAUUCUUCCCCACUGUCUGAAGACAAGGCUGCGCUCCGGGGAAGAGAAGGAUCUAGGCAGGGAGCAGGAGCCUGAUCGACGCUGGUGUUUCAGUGUGGAGGAAGUCAACUGGAACCAAUGGAACAGAAACCUGGGUGUAGUUACCGAGGAUCCUGGGAAAUGCAUGCCUGUACCUUCCCCAACUAAACUUC